CCUACGGGGGGCAGCAGUGGGGAAUAUUGGACAAUGGGCGAAAGCCUGAUCCAGCCAUGCCGCGUGUGUGAAGAAGGUCUUCGGAUUGUAAAGCACUUUAAGUUGGGAGGAAGGGCAGUAACCUAAUACGUUAUUGUUUUGACGUUACCGACAGAAUAAGCACCGGCUAACUUCGUGCCAGCAGCCGCGGUAAUACGAAGGGUGCAAGCGUUAAUCGGAAUUACUGGGCGUAAAGCGCGCGUAGGUGGUUCGUUAAGUUGGAUGUGAAAUCCCCGGGCUCAACCUGGGAACUGCAUCCAAAACUGGCGAGCUAGAGUAUGGUAGAGGGUGGUGGAAUUUCCUGUGUAGCGGUGAAAUGCGUAGAUAUAGGAAGGAACACCAGUGGCGAAGGCGACCACCUGGACUAAUACUGACACUGAGGUGCGAAAGCGUGGGGAGCAAACAGGAUUAGAUACCCCAGUAGUC
RNAcentral lists this ribosomal RNA (465 nucleotides) under uncultured bacterium. RNAcentral describes it as "bacterial SSU rRNA". It matches the Rfam family "Bacterial small subunit ribosomal RNA", at positions 338 to 795 of the family's 1533-position model. The record is from RNAcentral.